Chlorocebus sabaeus (green monkey) is the source of this 1473-nucleotide non-coding RNA. NCBI's taxonomy places the organism in Eukaryota, Metazoa, Chordata, Mammalia, Primates, Cercopithecidae. The record is from RefSeq and is a predicted model, not a curated record.
GUGGGAAGGAGCCCAGCAGCAGGGGCUGCCAGACCUGGAAAUAGAUCCACUCAUUGCAGUAUGGCAGAUGCAGAAGAGCAGAGCCAGCCAUAGCUGGAAGAGAAUCUUGGGGCACAGAGAUGCACAAACACGUAUGAGCAAGUCGAGACCCAAGUACCAAGCUGUAGAGUUACUGCUCCAUAGCAACCCAGGCCAGGAGGCAAGGUAAGAGGACGGUUAGUACAGAGAGCCACGGGGCAAGAGUGGAGCCACCUCGACAGUGGGGGUGACCAGAAGCCACAUCUAGGAGUGUUGACCCAGAGUCUGCAUUUCGUCCUGCUCAGGACUGUAGGAGAGGCCCAUCUUAAAUGCCACUGUCUCCGUGAGCUUUUGGAAACCUUACCGGCUUCCUCCCAUGUUCAGGGAGCUCCACUAAGAGGCAGGAGUCUUACUUUGUUGCCCAGGCUGGUCUCAAACUCCUGGCUUCAAGCAAUCCUUCUGCUUCGGCCUUCCAAAGUGCUGGGAUUACAGGCAUGAGCCACCAUGCCCAGCCUCCUUCCCUUACUAGCUGAGAACUAAGAGAAGACACUCUGGAGACAGAGGAGGAAACAAUGGUGACGCCACGCGAUGAAUACAUGAUGGAGGAUGAAGACAAGGCUCCAUCAGGGGCACCAGCGAGGGAAGCCCAGUACUGUAGGGAAGGUAUGGGGUGGCUUCACAAGCCCAGUGUCUGCUCUCUUUGUGGGACAUGUGUUGUUUCGGCAUCCAUUCCCGCUUCUUUUGGGAAAAGUGCUUGAAUUUCCUUUUCAGGAACCACCCACCAUCCUCUCAUCCAUGCGUUCUAUUCCCGGCAUCCGGGUAGACAAGUGACUUCAGGCUUGGCCAGUUAGGGUUCUGACUCUUGGUCAAAUCGGAGUGAAUCCUGAGUCAUUUGUAAACUCCAAGGAAAGGGCUUGCUUUGUUUUCUGUUGAAUGCAGUGCUGUGAGAUAACCAGAAAUGAAGCUGCUUUCUUGCCACAGUGAAGGCAAGAAAAGGGCCUGGCCGGCAAAUGAUGCCAGCGAUCGGGGUGGAGCUGGAAGAGGGGGAGCGAGGAGGCCCAGACAUCUUGGGAUCCCCGAAUUCACCUCAGGAUUUAACUUCUCUGCUGCUCAGCCAAUUAACUCCUUUCUUCCAUGACUAGUUUGAGUUGAGUUUUUAGUUUUUGCAACUAAAACAGCACUGACUAAUACACCCUUAGGUAAGAUUAGAGCAAGAAUAUCCAAUAUCUGUUUUCUUCAUCCUGAAAUUUGGUGAGGAUAUCUAAGGUUCUUUUGUCUUUUAAAAGAAUUCUGUUGCAAUAGAAAAUAUCAACCCAUAUUUUUCCAUUUCUCCAAAAUGUUUUAGUGUAUAUCUGCAGGGCACAAACUUCUCUCUGUAGGCCCUCUGCCAUGGUUGCUCUAUGCCACUUGUUAAGGGGCUGGUAUCUAGAAUAUAUAAAGCACUCUUAAAACUCA